AAAGAAAGUUGUGUUUAACUAAUCUCAUCUGAAUGAAUUUUUGGUAUUCAAAUAUGUGGACAAACAUCGGAAACAAAUUCAGUACAGUCUGUACACAACGUACAAAAGAAAUGAAAGAAGAAGUCAUAAUAAUUAACUAUUUUCCAAUUUUCAGUUAGAAAAAUAAAAAAAAAUAGAAAAAACCGGACUUCCAUAGAUGCUCAUUUUUGGUCCAAAACAUGUGGAAUGUGAAUUAUAUGUUAUCUUCAGGAUACACUAAAGGAGCGACAAAAUGCCUGAUAAUUAAACCGAAUAUUCCGGUAAGUAAUUGCAAUCCCAUUAUACAUAUUGUUAAAUGGUCUUCCCUCAUUGGGCCCAGAUGAUACAAAACAAAAUUAAUAAUUGUAAAGUUCGUACACCUGAGCGGGCGCCCGGUGCUAGGAUCGUACUCAACCCGAAUCAAUCGUAAUUUUUCAAAAAUAGAAAUAGUCAGCAAAGUCUUUUUAGGUAAAGGAUGCUCGUUUAGAGAGAAUUCUGUGUAGGAGUUUUCCAACAAUCCAGUUUUCACAUUUAGUUUAGGAAGUCGAUGACGGGGACAUUCAACCAAUCCAAAAAGCUGUGGAACGGAAAGCGCAAAAUUGAAAAUUUGAGGGAUAAAAAAGAGCAUAAGUGUCUUAGAGAAAUGACCUAAAAUUCCAACAACUGCCAUUACCAUUCCUGCAAAAUAGCAAAACGUAUCACCUACAAACACUCGCGAAGGCCACCAAUUGUAUUUUAGAAGCCCAGCAGUGACACCUAUAAGAGGCAAGACUAGAUAAAGGGAAAGGAGAUGAGCUCUUAAUGCAUCCUUAUUUUUGGGAGAGAGUACAUAAAACAAAUCAUUGCAAGCAAUAACAAGAGCAAGAACAAGCGAUUGGCCUGCCUCAACACCAUUUACUCCAGCAAUAAUGUUAAUACUGUUUGGACAAAAAAUCGCAACCGCAGCCAUAUAAAAGUAAUAAAGAAAACCCAAGUUGAUAAGAGAUCUCUUUAAAAAUGGUCUUACAAUGCUAGGAACGGACACAUAAGUAACUCCAUAGUCAACGUAGUAAACAACCAACAAUGGGAUAGCGGCAAUUGCUGGUAAAAAGAAUUUAUGCCUCCAUCGAAUAUCGAAUAAAUCAUCAAGAAUUCCAAGUAAAGAAACCGACAGAAUUGAAAGGAGGGCAGACAAAUAAGCGCCCAAAAGAUCAUGUGGAAACUGGGAUUUGGCAACCUCGGCGACAGAUCCAUCGGAUGGAAGAUUCGGGUUAUGAUUAGGUACCAAGUACUUAUAAAAUAGUACCGGUAUAAAUAUAAUCAUACACAUAAAAUAUACCAAUGCAGAAACUGCUCCCAUUGUUUCAGGUAUUACAUAUUUCUCUACUUUAUUCAUGUCCUUCCCCGAAAAGCCUCGUUUAAUAAAGGAGGGUCCUACUCUAGGAAUGAACAUUGCUGUAGCUUUGUAUGCUAAGACAGAGAGACCAACAUUAGAAAGUAGCGGAGAUUGACCUUGGUUCAUCAACAAAGCCAAACCUGUAGCCCAUAUUCCCACAUUAAAACAGGACUCUAUCAUUUUGAUACCUGUUAAUUAAAUAAAUUAAAAUAUUAGAAACAAGAAGACUUCAGUGGAUCAGGUAAGUUAUGAAUUUGUAUUCAUAUGUUGAAACGGUUAUGCGGUAGAUGUCAACGAACAUGUGUAGGAGACCGCGGCUAUACUUAUGCAAACACUAGGUAAUUUGUCUACUCAACGCAAAUAUACGAGAUUCAAGAUCUAGGAGAUGUUUUGAUAUAUUAUGUUUACGUUUUAAUUUAAAUUAGUUAUACAAUCUGUUCGUAGCAGAAGUAGUUGCAGCAACUAUAAAAGUGCAGAUCGUCGUAAUAAGUCAGAAUAUUGAGAAGUAAUUCGUUGCAUAUCUCGGUAUUUUGCUGUAUGAAUUAUAAUAUCUUUCAAUAAAUUUCUUUUAUUAUUACCAGCAAUCGUAGGACUCCAAAGUCGAUUUCCUACCUUGACUGUAUCAAUACCAUUAUGUGGUAUCCUUAAAGGACCUAAUAGUUCUUUGCAUAAUUCAUCCAUUUUAUCUUUCAUACCUUCUUCAGCAAUUUUUUUGGCGUAUAAAAUUAAAUUUUCACGAAAGUCAUAUUCCAAGUCUAGUUUUGCAGAACUCAUUAAUCGAUUUUCCAGAUGUCUGAUACUGACCAGCAUUUCAUAAUUGUCAUAGCCUUGUCUCAGCAUUAAUGCUUUAACAAGCCUUUGUAAAAAGCGACCGCGACCAGCUUUAAUAAUUUCCUCGUCCGUGCAACGCUCAAGGAAACCAAGCGGACUUUCUUCAUUGGAUUCAGAGGCUAAUGGACCCCAAUACUGACUACCUAUCAUCCACCAGCCUUCACUAACACGAAGCCAGGAGCUGCUGUCUCUUAUAAAUGCAAAAGCAUUACCAUCGCUCAUGAUAGCAACCGGGUGACCUUGCUUAGUUACAAAAAAUUGUUCAAUAGAAGGACCCCGUGCAAUCUUACUAACUGAAAAAUUUGAAUGAAACAAAGGAAGUGUACUCACAGGUGAAUGUAUAGCUUCAAAGUUUUUGAUAUUCCAUAUAUAUAGCAAACCCGUGGAAACUAUGCAACACAAAAAGUCACCACAACAUUCUAAGAAACAAGGAGUUGCAGCUACAACAACUGGUGGUAAAAGCAACCUCCCAGCUGGAGAAUAUAUGUAUAUAGAUGAAUCUUCGGUUGCAACUGCCCAAAAAACGCUGGUUCCAUUGGCCAGAACAAUAGCAUUGGGAAGAUAUGAAAACCAAGAACAGUCAUUUCCAUCUAGAUUGGAAAAAGUACACUUUAACAAAGAUAACUGGUUGUGAUUCUUGACUAUCAAUGUACCAAAUGACUUUGAUAUUACAAGUUUAGGUUUCAAAUAAGGACAGCCAAUUCUGAUUUGGGAAUAAAGGGAUGUUGGGUGAGGAACAGGAGGCCUCGCAACAAACUUUUUUGGGCACUUUCGUCUCUUUGACUCUGGAGAUGAUGCAAUAGAAGGAGGAGGUCUCAAUAAAAUAGAUUUGGAAGGAGACUCCGGUUGCCCUUGUGUAGGUGAAGUGGUACGGUCUGCCGCAGCAUUUUUAUUAACAUGUGCUUUUGACCGAGAACUAUUAAAGUAAGAUAGAUCAUCAGGGUAAUGUAUCGUAUCCAUUUUUUCCCCGAACUCUGAUUCCUCAAAUUGUAACAGCAUCAAGUUACCGUCCAACGAAACACCGUACAACUCAAAACCAGAUGUCGACCAUUGUAAAUCAACAAAUGAUGAGCAGGACAACUCAUGAAUAACAGCCAUAGGUCUUGCGCAUGCGGUGUUCCAG
RNAcentral lists this long non-coding RNA (3347 nucleotides) under Schizosaccharomyces pombe (fission yeast). The record is from RNAcentral. Lineage: Eukaryota; Fungi; Ascomycota; Schizosaccharomycetes; Schizosaccharomycetales; Schizosaccharomycetaceae.